This is a long non-coding RNA of Homo sapiens (human), 1886 nucleotides long. Lineage: Eukaryota; Metazoa; Chordata; Mammalia; Primates; Hominidae. The record is from Ensembl.
AGCCUUGUGGCCGAAGGGCUGGGACUGGCCAUGAGAUUACAUGUCCUAGCAUGCUCAGCCAGGCGCGCGCAGCUCUGCCCCUUCCUCCAGUGAUGCGCACAGUCCCUGAUCCCUGUGCACGCUGGGAUUGUAGUCCUGCAGCCCUGCGAUCACUUGCAGGUAACAAGAAAUUUCAGCUUCCGGCAUGAUGGGCGAAGGCCCCCACCUUCAGCCUCGCUCCUCCAUGCCUUCAGAGCUGUUCCGCCAUGCAGACGGGGAGCCUGCCUGUUCUUUAACCUCUCCUACCUGAUGGGAGAGGACAAGCUACCAGGACAGCUUGUCUCACCAAGAAAUUGUGAUACCGCAUCCCCCAACGUGCUGGCUUCCUGACUUCCAAAGUUGCGGCAAGGUAAGAAGAACUACAGAGGAAGAACCUAAUGCAGACGUUUCCCAGGAGACUUUAACUGAAGUAUCAGCAAACUGAAAGGGACCAUUGCAAUUUAGAGACGUGGCCAUAGAAUUCUCUCUGGAGGAGUGGCAUUGCCUGGACACUGCACAGUGGAAUUUAUAUAGGGAUGUGAUGUUAGAGAACUACAGACACCUGGUCUUCCUUGACCUUUGGCCAGAGCAGAGCAUAAAAGAUUCUUUCCAAAAAGUGAUACUUAGAAGAUAUGAAAAAUGUGGAUAUGACAAUUUACAGUUAAAAAAAGGCUGUGAAAGUGUGGAUGAGCAUGAGCUGCUCAAAAGAGGUAAUAAUGGUCUUCACCACAGUCUGACAACUACCCAGAGAAAAAUAUUUCAAUGUGAUAAAUAUGGGACAGUCUUUCAGAAAUUUUCAAAUUGAAACAGACCUAAGAUACGACAUACUGGAAAAAAAUCUUUCAAAUGUAUAGUAUGCGGCAAAGCUUUUAACUCGUCCUCAAACCUUACUACACAUAAGAAAAUUCAUACUGGAGAGAAACCCUACAGAUGUGAAGAAUGUGGCAAAGCCUUCAAAAGGUCCUCACACCUUACUGUACAUAAGAUAGUUCAUACUGGAGAGAAAUCCUACAAAUGUGAAGAAUGCGGGAAAGCCUUUAAGCACCCCUCACAUGUUACUGCACAUAAGAAAAUUCAUACUGGAGGGAAACCCUACAAAUGUGAAGAAUGUGGCAAAGACUUUAAGUACACUUCUACCCUUAUUGCACAUAAGAGAAUUCAUACUGGAGAGAAGCCCUACAAAUGUGAAGAAUGUGGCAAAGACUUUUAAGUGCACUUCUAACCUUACUACACAUAAGAGAAUUCAUACUGGAGAGAAGCCCUACAAAUGUAAAGAAUGUGGCAAAGCUUUUCACCUAUCCUCACACCUUACUACACAUAAGAUACUUCAUACUGGAGAGAAGCCCUACAGGUGUAAAGAAUGUGGCAAAGCUUUUAACCAUUCCACAAUCCUUUUUUCACACAAAAAAAUUCAUACUGGAGAGAAAUUCUACAAAUGUGAUGAAUGUGGCAAAACCUUUACCUGGCCCUCACUACUCUCUAAACACAGGAGAACUCAUACUGGAGAGAAACCCUACAAAUGUGAAGUGUGUGGCAAAGCCUUUACUGCAUCCUUAACUCUAACUGAACAUCAGAGAAUUCAUACUGGAGAGAAACCUUACAAAUGUGAAGAAUGUGGCAAAGCUUUUAACUGGUCCUCAUACCUUCAUAAACAUAAGAGAAUUCAUAUUGCACAGAAACCCUACAUAGUGAAGAAUGUGGCAAACAUUUUAAAUAUUCCUCCACUUUUAAUAAGCAUAAGAUAAUUCAUACUGGAGAGAAACUGGAUGAAUGUGGGAAAGCCUUUAACCAGCCCUCGACUCUUACUAACUAUGAGAAUUUAUAUGGAACAUAAACUCAUACAAAUAUAACAAAUAUAAAAAAUGUGA